This 1946-nucleotide long non-coding RNA is filed under the name Brachypodium distachyon (stiff brome). Its description in RNAcentral is "long non-coding RNA (BDIS_LNC000066)". Lineage: Eukaryota; Viridiplantae; Streptophyta; Magnoliopsida; Poales; Poaceae. The record is from RNAcentral.
CAAACAACAGCGAAAAAAGCCCCUGAUUGGUGAAUAUAUCAGCAAAUUGUGAAGAUGUAGGAACAUGUAGAACCUUUGCUUCACCAAGAGCAACUCGACCGUGCUUUCAAAAAUAAAAAAGAGCAACUCGAUCUCGCACAAAAUGAAGAUCAAUCUCCACAUGUUACGUUGCUACUACGUGAAACUGUUAUUGUUUUUUAGGUAAACAUGAAGCUAACUUUGAAUACGUAACCCACAAAAAAAACUCUUGAAUACGUAGUGAAUUGUGUAGUUUUGUUGAAUCCAAGCAUGCAUACAAGUAUACAACGAUGCCCAUUUUGUGUUUACCUAAAAAAUGCAGCGCGACGUUGGCCAAUCGGAGGAUUAAGUGGGCCGGCCCACUUGCGUGCGGAGAUGCCAAAAAAAAUCUGUAUAAAUUGUUGCGUUAAAAGGCUGGCUAGUUGCAGCUGGGGUAUGCUAUGUGGUACUUUGUACCCAUUUUGUGCUUUAGAUUAAUUGCAGUUCAGAAUUUUAGUGAGUUGUUGCUGUAGGGUUUGGUUCCUUGUUUGAACUUCGGAAAAUAGUGGUGGAGUUUUUGUUCAGUGGAUUCGAUUUGUUCUCUGGUCCUGGGUUUGUUUUGCUCACUGGUUUUGCUUGAAGAGGUGCACGGGUGGGGGUGGGAAGCCAUGCAGUUUUACCUUUUGCAAUUCCAGUUCUCUACAAAUGCUACAGUUUAUAUUGCACUGGAUCGCACCACUUUAUUUCUACAAUGGCUCUCUUUGUAAGGGGCAAUUGGUAUUUUAGCUUCUCCUUUCUUUUUUUUUCCUCUUUUCUUUGCAGCUUUAUACGAGUUCCAUUCAUAUUGCUGUUUAUAUGUAGAGUUUAAUUGCAUCUUUUAUUGUAUUUUAGUUUUCAUGUCCUCUGUUAUCUGCUUAAGUUGAUUUUGUUUAUCCGAGCGGGUAGUGGAGGGGGUGGCUGGCGUGUACCGGUGGAUCUGUGCAAGCAGUAAGUGAAGUUAUAAUGUUUCACAUUUUAAAAUUCUGCAUGGAUUGAGUGUUGCACCCUUAUUGUUCACCUUGUUCACAGACAUACGAUGUUUUUGUGAUUGGUGUUGCUAUCUGAGAAACUAAGGUUUGCACCAAAUUCCAUAUCACUGAUAUUUCAUAAACAAGAUCUGCAUAACAGGUUAAAUUUUUUUGUUCCCAAAAAACCAUGGGUAGGGUGUCAUUUCUAUCUUGAUUGGCUGAAGGAUCUUUAUGUGAAGGUUUUGCCUUACCCAUUGCCUUAAUUGAUCAAUUUUUGUUUCCAUUUUGAUUCACCAACAAACAACACUGCAAGUUGUACUCUGCUUAAGCGCAAUUGCACUAUCAACCUUCACUAAUUGCAAUUGCAAUUUCUGUUUCAACUAGUGGGUUUUGCCUUAAUUGAUCUUUUUUUUUUAUCUAUUUCACUUUCUAUUUUGAUGCACCGACCAACACUACUGCAAGUUGUACUCUAUCUAAGCGCAACCGCACUCUUGAUUUCCAGUAAUUGCAAUUAUCAGUUUUUUUGUCUCAACUAGUGGGGUUUCUGCCCAACAUUACUGCAAGUUGUACUCUGCCUAAGUGCAUUUGCACUUUUGAUUUUCAUUGAUCACAUUUUUCUGCAUUUAAUUAAUGGUACCAGCUAGUGGUGGGGUAAUAUCACCACUAGCAUCAGAUAAGUUGAACAUCUUGUUCAAUUUGUUUGUGUCAAUGACAAAGAGUACUUCAUCUUACAAUCUGUCCAAGCGCAAUCGCACCGUUGACUGCGAGCAAUUUCAAUUGCAAAUUUGUGUGCUCCAACUAGUGGGUUUAUUUUUCCACACUUAUAUUUCUGCCCAAGAACUUUUUUGUUUUCUCUUUGUUUUAUGCACCGAGAAAACAAUAUUUUUGCAAGUUGUACUCUUAGUAAGUGUAAUUGCACUCUUGAUUUUCAUUAAUCGCAUU